AUAUAAAUAAAAAUAGUAUGAGAAAUAAUAGUUGAUCCCACAAAAUGUACAGAUAAUAAAGAGUAAUAUUUAUAAAUGUGUGUUUAUGAUCCCUUUUAACACUGGUCUCAAUCUGUGCGAAUCUAUAUCAGAGGCCGUGGGAAGAUUCGAUACCUUACUCAAGAAAUUAUUCAAAUGAAGAAUGAGGACCCUACUUUUUUCUACAUGGAAUGCAGAAAAUUCCAUGGUAAUGUCUUGGCUUGUGAACAAAAUGGACCCUUUGAUAAGCCAAAAUGAAAUGUGCCCACCUGAUGCUACCAAAAAUCCUACCUGUAGAUUUCCCGAGCAUGAUGACUGAUGAGGAGCACGAACGUGAUCUUCCGGUACCUGAAAAGAAGGCAACGAAUUGUGUUCUCGUCGCCCCUCCGAUGCUUAAGUCAGAAAGGGAAUUUUGUGCGUGAGACUAUGUGCUGGAGAACAAUGAAAAACGUACCUGAAUAAUGAUUAAGGGCUUCGUAUUUAUAGAGGUAGGUGGUGUGUUCAUACUAGGAUUCCGUAGUGCACCUGUAGUAGGACAGCUUGAUUUUGCAAUCUUACACCAAUGAGUCCUACGCGAGAUAGGAGUUUGAAUUGCGGUAUAACUGUGAUACAAAUUAUUUAAUAGAGUUCUUCUGGGCAUAGGAGACAUGAGUUGAGGAUUUUUAGUCAGAAUAAAUUUUUCAUUGGAUAAGGCGUUGACGUAGGUCAUAAUCCCGAGGACAUAAUCUUGAGGACAUGUCGAAUGAUUGUCGAAUAACUCUUGGGGCUAAUAGCUCGGGCAUAUGGGAUACCCGAGCACAUAUAUCCCGAGCAUAUUGGUAAACAUAUCGACGAAAUAGAGUCCUCGGGUUUAUAUACGUCGGGACCAAUAUAUUUGGUUAUAUCACCACCUAUUGUAAAGAAAAAGGUGGACGGAGUUUCUGAGAUGUGCUCGGGCUUGGAGAAUUCACACCAAAACACUGAAAUCCACUUAAAACUCAGUGAAGCUAAGCAAUGGGAGAUAAUGUCACAAACUGCUACAUGAAAACUUGAAAAGUCUGUGGCAAGAACUUGGUUUGUUCUAUGUACAUGAGAAGUGUGUUGAGGACUUUGCUCAUUACCAGAAAGCUUUGGAGAAUGAAAGCUUUAAAAUUUUGACCGGGUUGAAUUCUAAAAGAAUUCUGUGCAAACAACCUCUUCCAUCCAUAAGAGAGGUUUAUUCCGAGGAAAGGCAUGAAGAAAAAAUGUUGAAGGCAGUGCCGCUUGUAGUGCCCUGGAAUUUAUCCUUCUUACGUCAAGUACUUAAAAUAAUUCUAGGGAACAAUACAUAUCUAAGGUAGUUACCG
This 1343-nucleotide long non-coding RNA is filed under the name Olea europaea subsp. europaea. The record is from RNAcentral. Lineage: Eukaryota; Viridiplantae; Streptophyta; Magnoliopsida; Lamiales; Oleaceae.